AGCAACAUCUAUAAGAUUAAGAAUUUCGCAGAUACUGAAUCUAAGCAUGGCUCACUGAUGCUGAGCAGGGCUGAACAUGGUUAGUACCUGAAUGGGAGAUCCCAUGGGAAAACUAGGUUGUUGUUU
This 126-nucleotide ribosomal RNA is filed under the name Danio rerio (zebrafish). The record is from RNAcentral. Lineage: Eukaryota; Metazoa; Chordata; Actinopteri; Cypriniformes; Danionidae.